UACAGAGGUCUCAAGCGUUGUUCGGAUUCACUGGGCGUAAAGGGUGCGUAGGUGGCUUGGUAAGUUUGAUGUGAAAUCUCCGGGCUUAACCCGGAAAUGGCAUUGAAUACUAUUGAGCUGGAGGUUUGGAGGGGGGACUGGAAUUCUCGGUGUAGCAGUGAAAUGCGUAGAUAUCGAGAGGAACACCAGUGGCGAAGGCGAGUCCCUGGACAACACCUGACACUGAGGCACGAAAGCUAGGGGAGCAAACAGG
RNAcentral lists this ribosomal RNA (253 nucleotides) under uncultured bacterium. Its description in RNAcentral is "partial 16S ribosomal RNA". It matches the Rfam family "Bacterial small subunit ribosomal RNA", at positions 524 to 776 of the family's 1533-position model. The record is from RNAcentral.